AGUCGUAACAAGGUUUCCGUAGGUGAACCUGCGGAAGGAUCAUUACUAAAUCCAUCCAUGAUCGAACCAUGUCGAAACGUGUUUUUGUGGCGGCAGCGGAGAGCGAGUGAGCGAGCAAGCAGUUUAAUAGACUGUGCGCGAGCGCACCACACGACGCAACGCCCAAAAAUAUUAUAUAUCACAACCUAUAACAUCGCGAUGUACCACAAUGACAGUAUUACAUAUUAUAAUAUUAUAAAGCAUAACUUUUAACAAUGGAUCUCUUGGCUCUU
This 272-nucleotide unclassified non-coding RNA is filed under the name fungal sp. RNAcentral describes it as "partial internal transcribed spacer region". The stretch from base 1 to 45 matches the Rfam family "Eukaryotic small subunit ribosomal RNA", at positions 1787 to 1831 of the family's 1831-position model. Lineage: Eukaryota; Fungi. The record is from RNAcentral.